AAUGGACCUCUGGCUGGCUCACAGGCCAAAUCCAGUUUAUUGCAGCAACUUAACAAGAUUGGGAUCUAAUUUUAUGUUUGCAAGUAAAAUUUAGAUAUAACCAUUUCUUUUUACCUCACUAAGCCCUGGUUAUUAAAAAUGGAUUGUUCAUUGCUAAAAAUAUGGCAAGUUUUAUCAGGACAAUAAAAAAUGAAUCCUCUAAUAGAGCAAAUACCCAAGCAGCCAGUAUUAAUUAAAAUUAUAUUUAGUUGGAGCAAGGAACUAGCUGUGUUGGCUAUAAUUUCUUUCAAACUUGUUCUUGAGUCUGAGCAGGUGCAUUUGUUAGCCAAAAUACUGCAUGGUAAAGUUGCUCGUUGGGUGUAAGAGGACCCAAGGAAUAAAUGCUUUCGCGGGAGGAGAUGUCAGGAUAUUAAUGGAUCUUAAUCACAUGGACCUUGGGGAAGGUUGACAAGAACUAGCUUUUUUGAGUGCUCUGAUGGUUGGCCUUCCAUGGGAAACUUCUGCUUGCCCAUCAUUGCGCUUUUGUGGAGAGCCAUCAAACCAAACCAUGGUACUAGUUGAAUAUGCCAACAGAGCAAGCUUUAUUGGCAGACAAACUAGAUGCAUGCAUCCAUUAUUUCUGCCAUCUGACAGACGCUGGGAAGAAUAUUUAUAUGGUUGGAAAGCAACUGGAACCCUCGGCAUAAUUGUCAGAGAAAAGCUGCAUGAGUAAUCCCAUGAUGAGUUGAGCCAUGCUAUUUGGAGACUAUGACAUGAAAGAAUAGCAAAAAGA
RNAcentral lists this long non-coding RNA (772 nucleotides) under Elaeis guineensis (African oil palm). RNAcentral's name for it is "long non-coding RNA (EGUI_LNC037334)". The record is from RNAcentral. Lineage: Eukaryota; Viridiplantae; Streptophyta; Magnoliopsida; Arecales; Arecaceae.